UGCCAGCAGCCGCGGUAAUACGGAGGGUGCAAGCGUUGUCCGGAUUUAUUGGGUUUAAAGGGUGCAUAGGUGGGCCUUUAAGUCAGUGGUGAAAGCCUACAGCUUAACUGUAGAAAUGCCAUUGAUACUGGAGGUCUUGAGUAUAGAUAAGGUAGGCGGAAUUGAUGAUGUAGCGGUGAAAUGCAUAGAUAUCAUCAGGAACUCCGAUUGCGAAGGCAGCUUACUGGUCUAUAACUGACGCUGAGGCACGAAAGCGUGGGGAGCGAACAGGAUUAGAUA
This 279-nucleotide ribosomal RNA is filed under the name uncultured bacterium. Its description in RNAcentral is "partial 16S ribosomal RNA". It matches the Rfam family "Bacterial small subunit ribosomal RNA", at positions 506 to 784 of the family's 1533-position model. The record is from RNAcentral.